AUGUGGGCGAUCUGGUGGGCUAGGAGGAGAGCAAUUCACGAUGACGAAUUCCAAAGCCCUCUUUCUACAAUGUGUUUUGUGAACAGAUACUUGGAGGACCUGGAGAUCGCUGCCAAACGCGCUCCAGCGCGUCCCUCGCAGCCGGUGGUACAAAGGCAGCGCAGGUGGAUCCCGCCGGGAGAGGAAGCAAUGAAGAUCAACGUAGACGGGGCUAUCUCUCGCCAAGGAGGAACGGGUGCAUCGGCUGCUGUGUGUCGGGACAAAGAAGGCAACUACCUGGGAUCUUCAGCGGUGGUUUUUGAAGGAUUAGUCGACGCCCCAAGCUUGGAAGCUCAAGCGUGCAACGAGGCGCUUGCCCUUGCUCAAGAUCUAUUGCUGGCACAUGUGGUAAUAGCCUCGGAUUGCAUGCAGGUUGUUUCGGAUAUUAAGGGGGCGGCGUCAUCUUCCUCUUAUGCUUUUGUAAUUGAAGAGAUUAAAGCUAGAGUUACAGACUUUGUAGGAGUUAAAUUUCGUUUUGAAAGUAGGGAGGCAAACUUUGAGGCCCAUGCCUUGGCAAAGGCAGCCUCGUCUCUCCCUACGGGUCGCCAUCUGUGGCUAGGGAACCCGCUAGACAUUAUAUGUAUUCCUCCGGUUUUGGCUGAUCAAUAA
Molecule: ribosomal RNA, 648 nt
Filed under: Triticum aestivum (bread wheat)
Lineage: Eukaryota; Viridiplantae; Streptophyta; Magnoliopsida; Poales; Poaceae
Description: partial small subunit ribosomal RNA
Source: RNAcentral